UUUCUAUUUCUUCCCCACGCAGACAUCUCUCCCUCUCUUCGCUCCCUCUCUCGGCCGCCUCUCUCUCUCUCUCCCCCCCCUUCUCCGGCGAACGGCGCCGGUUUUCGCCGUCUCCGGCGCCGCGAGGCCGGCACCUCUCCUUCUCCCCCUUUCUUUCAUUUAUUUCCCCCAAAUUCUCAAGCUACAAACUACCUAGGGUUUUUAAGUUUCCCCAUUUCAAAUCUGCUCGUCCGGUGAACUCCAGUGAAUAACGCCGUCUCCGUCGCUACUGCCGCUGCCUGAACGUUGCGCUGCCGUCCCUGCCUCAGGUAUGCCUUUGCCCUUUCUCUGCUCUCCCUAUCAAUCUCCCUCUCUCGAUCUCUCUCUAUUUCACUUUCUUUCUCCCUCGCUUAAACUCUUUCUUGCUGUCGGCAACCACCGCGGACCACCGUGGCAGUGCCAGCGGUCGCCGCCGCCACCAACCGCGCCUCCGCUGCGGUGGCUCGCGCCUGCUGCUGCCAUUCCCCUCCUUCACCUUAUUUCCUUUUUCUUUUGUGCUCUUCAAUCUAUUUUCCAGUUUAACACCUCGUAUUAAUAAAUCCCUAACUAUUUCCUAUUUCAGGAAUCGACUAGCGUCGUUGCUUCGAGACCUCUCCGGCGAGCCAGCCCAUCUACUGCUCAAGACUCUUAUCUUUUUUACCAUUCUUUUGUUAUUAAUCUGCUUUCUUAUUCGAAUACUGCAAAAUUAAGGUUUUGAUGGUGAAGCACAGUGUACUAAUUAACUAUGCUUAUGUUUAAUCUGGUGUGGCUAUGUCCUUUCUGCUGUUCUUGAUUGUCUUUUUUUUUUUUAUAUACAAGGAAUUGAUUGAAGAACAUACGGAGAUACACACAGAGAUACUACCUGCUUGGUUAAGUGAACUGCUGUGAGAGAUUUUUGGACAUGAUUGGUGAACUGCUGUGACAGAUUCUUGGAGAUAAUUGGUGAACUGAACCGAGUUGCAGGGUGAAGAAAAAUGGCUGAUCGUGAGAAGGAAAAUACUUAUACUAUCUCUAAGGCGGUUUGGAAAAUAGCUGAGUAAUGAGUGGAGAGCCACGUGUUGUUUGAGCAGCCAAUAUACUUUGAUAAUCCAAUUUGCACAAUUGUACUAAUAAGAGUAGGUUAAUCUACUGAUUUAAAAGAGUUGAACUUGGGCCUCUUCUCAGAUACCUACAUAACCUUUGGCCCAAAUACUAAAGUAUUGGGCUUAAUAAUCACUUGCCCAAAUAAUAUUAAUAAUAUAUAGUAUACUGUAGUGAAAAUGCCGGAUGUUACAGAAACACAAUAUUUGGCCACUAAUUGAAAAAUUACAAAAUUUGAUCAUUUUUUACGUUUUAAGACUGUUUUGACCUUAAUUAGGGC
This 1378-nucleotide long non-coding RNA is filed under the name Salvia miltiorrhiza (redroot sage). Its description in RNAcentral is "long non-coding RNA (SMIL_LNC006149)". The record is from RNAcentral. Lineage: Eukaryota; Viridiplantae; Streptophyta; Magnoliopsida; Lamiales; Lamiaceae.